UACGAAGGGGGCUAGCGUUGUUCGGAAUCACUGGGCGUAAAGGGCGCGUAGGCGGCCGAUCAAGUCGGGGGUGAAAGCCUGUGGCUCAACCACAGAAUUGCCUUCGAUACUGAUUGGCUUGAGACCGGAAGAGGUUAGUGGAACUGCGAGUGUAGAGGUGAAAUUCGUAGAUAUUCGCAAGAACACCAGUGGCGAAGGCGGCUGACUGGUCCGGUUCUGACGCUGAGGCGCGAAAGCGUGGGGAGCAAACAGG
Molecule: ribosomal RNA, 253 nt
Filed under: uncultured bacterium
Lineage: Bacteria
Description: partial 16S ribosomal RNA
Rfam family: Bacterial small subunit ribosomal RNA
Source: RNAcentral